This is a long non-coding RNA of Mus musculus (house mouse), 889 nucleotides long. RefSeq annotates it as predicted gene, 41296. The record is from RefSeq and is a predicted model, not a curated record. Lineage: Eukaryota; Metazoa; Chordata; Mammalia; Rodentia; Muridae. The transcript is spliced from 3 exons.
ACAGUGGUGGGGACCAGACGCAUUCUGGAUUUCUGCUUGUCCGACAUUCUUUGUGUUCUGAUUGGCAGCUGAAACCGCACACUGUUUCUUGGGGAUGCUUCUCAGCAGCCAUGCCUGCAAUUAAGAGAGAAAAGCAAUUCAAUUUGGAGGAGACACUACCCUCUUGUGACACGUCUAGGAAAGAACUCUAAAGUUCUCUAAAGGAACGGGCACCCAACUUCCAUCUGUCACCACCUGGGCUAUGAGCCACAAUAUGUUUGUACUUGGAGCACUGUACCCACUUGAGCCAUGUGCUCAGCAGCAAUGUAAACAACCAGUCAGCAGCAAAAAUAACAAAACCUGUUUCAGAAAAACAAGAGGGGAUAGUAAGUAGUCUAAGAAGCUGAGCCUGAGAGACUCAGAGUUGAACAAGCCAGAUCCUUAUCUUGUUGGACUUGAAGAAGUAGGAACAGAGGAGGACACUCUCUACCCCCACCCCUACUUCCUGCAAGAAACAAAUUAAUGAGGAAAACAAGAGGACAUUUGUUCAUAGUUUUAUGGGACUCUGGAGCCUUCAGCUGGGCCACCCACACUGGACUCUUGCUUCUAGUGCUGCUACUUCAAGAAACAAGGACCACCACGUGCGUGGACACAAGGAGCCCUGCGCUGGGGAGACCAAGCCAGGCCUGCCUGUCUCCAACCUCCUUGACUUCUCUACUGCCACAGUUUUCAUUCCAAGGGUGGGUCAGGACCCUUAGUUUCUAUAUGGAUAACUAGUACAGCAAGAUGGAAGAAAUGUUAAUGUAAUUUUUGUUUUGUUUUGUUUUAUAGCUAGGGCAGCAGGUUUUGGCUUCUCUGGCCCACAUUGGGGAUGAAAUACAAACAGUAUUAAUGGCAGAAAAAUCAGUAC